GUAACAAAGGGAAUAGCCAUUAACAUCCAUCCAUCCAUCCUUCAUUGAGUCGGAUGGGAACCGUAGCAUCUGCGGACAGUUUUUCCGGAAUCUCAGCAACCUUUAUACUUCAAAGUUGCCAUCAUCAGAGCUAGGAAUUUUUAGAGCUACAGGGCUCUCCAAGUAGUAUUCAGUGUGGAGUGUGCAGGACAUCAGGUGGAAGUGCGUCUGCUUGCAAUAUAACCAGGGCUAUGCAGUUUUUCUUCUACUUCACUUGCAAGUGGGAUCCAUGUUUGCAACCGUUGCACAUUGGUUGUGCUUAAUUCGAAAACUGUAUUUUUCGUGGCUUAUGAGUGGCCUUUGAGGUAAUACAGGCUUGAUUUGUUGAUUUCAGGAAAUGUACUCUGUUGUCCAUUUAUUUGUUGCUUUAUUUGUUGAUUUCAGGAAAUGUACUCUGUGGUCCAUUUUUUGGCGGAAAAUGAUGUUGCAGUUGUUCCUACCUGUUGGGUGUGCAAUGGCCGCACGGCAUGGCCACCCUACAGAUCAAAUCGGUUGAUGAUGGUAAUUGAGAGCGUGAAGAGCCCUUUACUGACUGGGCCACAUUCUCCUGUCAGGUGAUGGCAUCAUGUUGUAAGUAUAGCGGGUGUCUAGCAACCGGGAUUAGUCAGGAAUAUUUUAAUUACCGGGAAAAAUCAGAGAUAUUGUCAAAAAGCGAGCCCAGUCAAGGAAAACGAGCCAGAAAUGCCAUUGAGUGCCCUGAGCAAGGAGUUGAGAACCUUGGGGCAGAGAAAUAGGCUCUAAGCAGAGCCACGCUCUGCUUAGAGCAGAGCGCGGGCUCUGCUCACCUAAUGUAGAGUGUGCUAGAGCACUGUACGAGCCAGAAUUUCUAGGCACGGCCCGACCCGGCCCGGUAGAGGCAUGGCCCGGGCCCGGCCCGAGCCCGAUAGAAUAUUUCAUUUCCAGGUCCAGCCAGACUUGGCCUUGAAGAGACACGGCUCGAACCCGGCCCGGACCCGGCAGAAUUUUAGACAGAAACUUGAGCCCGGCCCAAGCCCCACAAAAUAUUUGUUUUGUUUAAUAUAAGCCUGAGCUUGGCCCGAUCCUGACAGAUUAUAUACAUGAGCCCGAAAAAGUUGUCAGGCUUUAACCUAAAAACUGUCUAAGCAUAAUGCGAGCAUAUUUGAUUUAAUGAACAAAAGGUUGGGGCGCAAACGAGCUUGUGGUGGUUAAACAUUUGACUGGUGUGCUCGGCUUUCUUGUUUCAGUGACAUAUGAAGAUGCAAAGUUCAAAGAAAAAAAAUCCGGAAGCGGCGUCCGACCUAUCAACGAAUAAUGAAGAGCGGGAGAAGAGAAAAAGGAAGAGACUGCUCCUUUUCCGUCAAGCUUGCCUCUUCUGCAGGAACGACCUAGCACUCAGCCAGCCCCUCAACUUCCAGGACGUGCACCAGUGCCCAAGCAAAAACGCACACGUGAGCAGCGUGUCUCUUCCCAGGAGUGACUGAGGGGCUGCCACAAGGGGAGAAGGCAAGCAUGUUUCUGAUUACAAGAAUGGACAGUUGGGCUGGGCUAGUUGGUAAGAAUUGAUGUUGAAAAACAGUGCAAAAACCAGACAAAGAGAAAAGAACACACAGCACCUUGUCCUGUGUGUUCUCUUAUCCGUGCAUUUUGCACUGUUUUUCAGCAUGUUUCUGCCUUGAUUUUUCUGUUAUAGUUUUAAAUGUCUGUAGUUGGUUACUUUGAUCCCUGUUGGAAGCAUGGAACUGGUUAACCGUGUUAAAUGCAUGGAAUUGAAAAAAAAAUCAUGCUAUUUGAAUCAUUUAAAAGCUUUUUUGUCUAAUGAUUUCUUUCUCUUUUUUUUACAACCAUCCCAUGAGUGAGUGCCUGUUGUUUGAAUUUUUUAUGGCAAUUUUUAAUAUGCAUAUGUUACCUUUUAUUUCUAUUCAUGUAUACAUUUUAGCCCUAGCUAGUGGUUUCUUUUAUUUAAUUUAUGUACACAUUAGUAUGGUAUUUUUACAAGUUUUAAAAUCUAUGUUCUUUUUCUAGUCCUUUCUGGUUUAUUGCCUCCAUUAUUUAUUUAUAUGUCCUAGCCCAAGAUAGUUUGAGAUAUAUUUAGAAUUUUAUUUCAAGCUGCUUGCUUUAUGUUGCUGGGAAUUUUAAUAUUUUGCAUUUUUAUUUCCAUGCAGAUCAGCCUUGUAAUUUAGUGUGUUCUUUACAAUUUUGUAGAUCUAAUAGCUUGUAAGAAACAGAAGAAUACACUGGUACUUGUAACGUUUGUUUCGUUUUUGAAAUAAAUUUAUUCCAAUAACC
This 2286-nucleotide long non-coding RNA is filed under the name Ixodes scapularis (black-legged tick). Its description in RNAcentral is "uncharacterized LOC121833468". Lineage: Eukaryota; Metazoa; Arthropoda; Arachnida; Ixodida; Ixodidae. The record is from RNAcentral.